Non-coding RNA from Phrynosoma platyrhinos (Desert horned lizard), 73 nucleotides. Lineage: Eukaryota; Metazoa; Chordata; Lepidosauria; Squamata; Phrynosomatidae. The record is from the annotation of a GenBank genome assembly.
GGCCAGAGUGGUAUAGUGGUUUGAGUGUUUAACUGCAAAUGUGGAAACCAGGGUUUGAUUCCCAGCUCGGCCA